AGGUUCGAAUCCUGCACGACCCACCAGUUUUAGCAUCGAAGACAAGAUGUUAAGCGUGUAGGAUAACGUUGCGUCAGCAACGGCCCGUAGGGCGAGCGAAGCGAGUCAUCCUGCACGACCCACCA
RNAcentral lists this small RNA (125 nucleotides) under Escherichia coli. RNAcentral describes it as "partial RtT sRNA". It matches the Rfam family "RtT RNA", at positions 39 to 130 of the family's 130-position model. Rfam says of the family: This family represents a bacterial cis-regulatory element known as RtT RNA. The exact function of RtT is unknown although it is thought that it may be involved in changing the cellular response in relation to amino acid starvation. Lineage: Bacteria; Pseudomonadati; Pseudomonadota; Gammaproteobacteria; Enterobacterales; Enterobacteriaceae. The record is from RNAcentral.